GUCGAGGAUCUUCGGCAAUGGGCGCAAGCCUGACCGAGCGACGCCGCGUGCGCGAUGAAGGCCUUCGGGUUGUAAAGCGCUGUCGAGGGGGAGGAAAGCCGCAAGGUCUGACCUAUCCCUGGAGGAAGCACGGGCUAAGUUCGUGCCAGCAGCCGCGGUAAGACGAACCGUGCAAACGUUGUUCGGAAUCACUGGGCUUAAAGGGCGCGUAGGCGGCGAGUCAAGUCCGGGGUGAAAUCUUUCGGCUCAACCGGAAAAGGGCCUUGGAUACUGACUUGCUUGAGGGAGGUAGGGGCAGGUGGAACUUCCGGUGGAGCGGUGAAAUGCGUUGAUAUCGGAAGGAACGCCGGUGGCGAAAGCGGCCUGCUGGACCUCUACUGACGCUGAGGCGCGAAAGCCAGGGGAGCAAACGGGAUUAGAAACCCGGGUAGUCC
Molecule: ribosomal RNA, 434 nt
Filed under: uncultured bacterium
Lineage: Bacteria
Description: bacterial SSU rRNA
Rfam family: Bacterial small subunit ribosomal RNA
Source: RNAcentral